This 461-nucleotide ribosomal RNA is filed under the name uncultured bacterium. RNAcentral's name for it is "bacterial SSU rRNA". It matches the Rfam family "Bacterial small subunit ribosomal RNA", at positions 343 to 796 of the family's 1533-position model. The record is from RNAcentral.
UGGAGGCAGCAGUAAGGAAUAUUGGACAAUGGGCGAAAGCCUGAUCCAGCAAUGCCGCGUGUGUGAAGAAGGCCUGCGGGUUGUAAAGCACUUUUAUCGGGAAAGAAAAGCUUGGAGCUAAUACCUCCAAGCCUUGACGGUACCCGUUGAAUAAGCACCGGCUAACUCCGUGCCAGCAGCCGCGGUAAUACGGAGGGUGCAAGCGUUAAUCGGAAUUACUGGGCGUAAAGCGAGUGUAGGUGGUUGCAUAAGUCGGAUGUGAAAGCCCUGGGCUUAACCUGGGAAUUGCAUUCGAUACUGUGUGACUAGAGUCUGAUAGAGGGAAGUGGAAUUCCAGGUGUAGCGGUGAAAUGCGUAGAUAUCUGGAGGAACAUCAGUGGCGAAGGCGGCUUCCUGGAUCAAGACUGACACUGAGGCUCGAAAGCGUGGGGAGCAAACAGGAUUAGAUACCCCGGUAGUCC